Peromyscus maniculatus bairdii (prairie deer mouse) is the source of this 2009-nucleotide non-coding RNA. NCBI's taxonomy places the organism in Eukaryota, Metazoa, Chordata, Mammalia, Rodentia, Cricetidae. The record is from RefSeq and is a predicted model, not a curated record.
AAAAAGACGAAAAUGGGUUGACCGCUUUGAUGACUGUGCAGGAGGGCAUGCUGGCUCAAACAUUUGAAGGGCUGGAGGAAAGAAAAAGCCACCAGAAGAACAUCAACAUACAAGGGAUGGGCAAAAGAAGAUCUGGAGCCAUGAAAUGAUGGAUCCGAUCCCUCAAAGCUUGGAGCUUCCCACAGAGGGAUGCCCUUCAGGAGGCUUGUUCAUCCACGGCAGAUUCUACUGUUCCUUAGCAAGUGUGAGCUAAAGGCAACGGAGGCUGAGCAGGCUCUGGCCAAUCUAGAGCCAGGGGCUCUGCAGAAUCUGAGAAGGAAGUGAGAAGAUGUGAAAGGAGUGUAUGAGGUCAAAGCCGAGGGGCCCAGCAGGGACAAGACUGGCCAGAUAAGUAGCUGACAGGUAUUCAGUGAGAGUCUACUAUGUGCGGGUACUCUGCAGGAGAAUAAUGUAAAAACAGAAACGGUCUCCGCCUUAUGGAAAUCAGACUUCAUAAGGCCCUAUCUCAAUAGAACAAUUAUUCGUACAUUUCUCAAGGGCACCUGUGAAAAGUACAUUAAGGAGAGAAGGUCCCCGAGGCAAGCUUAGAAGAUGAGAUGGAGUCAACCCAAACAAGAACAAAACAUCCCCAAAGCAAAACUGUCUGCCAAAGCACUGAAGCAAGGGGAAGCAGCCCUCGGAGGGAAGUCGAGGCAGGAUGCAGUGGCGGAGGCAACGGGAAGAGGGUCUGCCUAUGCUGUCCAGGCAGUACUGAACUUAUGUACUCAAGCAAUCCUUGAGGCUCCAGGCACAUGCUACCAUGCUUGGCCAUCAAAUAAGGGUGCACCAACACACAGCACGGUAUCCAGAGUCUGUCUGCUGAGCAGAAGAACCACAGGAGUGGUGAUCUGGGAGACACAGGGAUGCUGAAGCACCAGAGGAUGGUAACUGUUCUGGCCCUCAGAGGUGUCUACACUGAGCAGCGGAGAGCAGAGGACUCGAAAGCUGAGUUGCCCUUCCCAUGCCUCCCUCAACCUCUCCCAGCCUGUAAACAGGAAGCCAGGCUUGGGUCCCUGCCAGGGCCCAGGCUCGGGCAGGAAGCUGAGGAAACAAGUGUGGAAGACUCUCCUCAGCACAGAAGAGGGCUCCUGAGAAAUUCCUGGGAAGGGAAAUAAAGCCAGCUCCCUGCAGAACUCUCCCAGAGGAGGAACAGCCUGGGCUGCUUGCAGUCCCUAGUUGGGGUCAGACAUGGCUCUAGCAGGAUUCAGUGAGAGUAGAUCCAAGUCAGGACCCUCCCCUCAGGGAAGCACAGGCCACCAGGGAGGCAGAUGGAGUCUGUGAGGCCCGAAGCUGUUAGGGCGUCUUGGGUUGAUGAGGAAGGAAAUGGUGGUGUGGGUUAAGGGCAGCGUGGGGAAAGCAGACGCACAGGAGAGAGGGCCAGGGGUACUAAUGGGGACAGGGAAACUCCUAAUGAAAUAAUGGACCAAUGACCAUCAGGGACUGCUGAGAACAUUAGGUAAAUGAUGCUGAGGAACCUCUGUAAUGGGUUGUAAUCAGGCUAACUGCCCCAUCAAUCAGUCUGAACACCACAAAAAGUAGGACAACUGUGCCGAGGACGAUGUACACCUCAGAGGGAAGAGGGAAAUGCACAGCGCAUCUACCAAGCAUUCUUUACACAAAGUUGAAUCUGAAUCUGAUCUACUACUAGUUUACAGAAAUGUAGGAAAGAGAAGAACGGGAUUAAAAAUAUCACAGGGAUGUGAUCAACAAAAUCCAGAAGGUAGGAAACUGGAACAACAAAAGAUUUUCAAAUCUUUUUGAAAUUGCAAGAAAAGAAAAAGUAGAAGGGAGGACUUUAGGUUGAAGAAACAUCAGCCAGGAGAAGGUAAAAGCCCACGAUGCACAAGCCUGACAAGCUGGGUCUGAUCCUGGAACCCAAGAUGGAAGGACAGACUGACUCUAUAAAGUCAUUCUGAUCUGUGUGUGUGUGCGCGCGCGCAUGCACGCGCACACACACAUACACACACACA